AGCCCGAUGUGGGACUCGACCCUGGGUCUCCAGGAUCACGCCUGGGCCAAAGGCGGUGCUGAACCGCUGAGCCACCCAGGGAUCCCCUAUAUACAUAUAUUUUUAAACCUCCCCAUUCCCUCCUUCACCCCUCGGCCUUGGCACCCACCUGGAAUUAGGUAUAUUUCCGCCUAUUUCACAAUCGUGAAAACCAAGAGUGAAGCUUUGGCAGAAACAGCGUCAGCAGCAUCCCCCUCCUCCAACGCCCCAUCCUUCCACCUGUACCACCCACUGCACCCCCAUCCCAGCCUUCCUCGUGGGAGCAGCCUGUAAGGGAGGAGCCCUUCCGUUCCUGCGCCUAGGGAGAAACGGGGGUGCAAAGCCCCUAGGGAGGAGGAGAAUCACAAAGGUUCUAGCAGGGCGAUAGCUGACGGGGAUCUAGAGAUGACACGUCUAGCAGGGAGCCCCCCAUCCAAAUCGGGGAGCCAGUGGAGCAGAAAGCAGCCACCGGGAAGGUAAAGCGGCGGGCAGCUCGGCACACACAGCUGCUCACGGAGGUGUCUGCAUUGCACAGGUAAAGAAGCUGAGCCACAGAGAAGGGUCCUGACAGGUCCAAGGCCACAGAGCCAAGAGAUUGGAAGGCUGGGGGUUGAGCCCAGGGCCCUCUAUUCCGCCUGACUUGGGGUUUGUAGCUACGCUUCAGGAAGUCUAUGAACCCCUUCACAUGGAGAAUUUCACUUGGGGUAUAAGCCUUUUCUGGAGAGGGAGUCUGCAGCCUGGUGAGUGAGAACCAGGACUCUGGAGUCACCCAGCACUGAGCUUGGAUCCUGACUUUAUAACUCGCAUGGUCACAGGCAAUUGCCUCUAUGAAGUUUUCAGCCUCCCAAGGCUGCUGAGAGAGUAAAAGCAUCAGAAGCCCUUCGUGUGGUGCCUGGCACACAGCAGGUGGCCAGUAAACCCAGAGGCUGUUAUUGAAGGAGUCAACAUGACCGUGCUGGCAAAAGAAACUGUAUCUUGGAGGUGCAUCUUCUGUAAAAUGAAACAACACAUGUUUACAAAUCCUUACGGCCGGUACACUCCCACAUUUUGAAAAAAAUCCAUAUAGAAAAGACUGGAAAGAAAUAUAGGAUUGCAAAAUGGAAAUAGCGGUCAUCUCUGAGCAUAAGGAUAAGUAGUAUAAUUUUCUGCCUUGUGCUUUUCUGUACUUUUCUGUAUUUUCUAGAUUUUCUCUACAAAUGUGUAUUAACUUGGUAAUGAUAUGAAUAAACUUUUUUUUUUUUAUG
Canis lupus familiaris (dog) is the source of this 1262-nucleotide long non-coding RNA. RefSeq lists it as uncharacterized. The record is from RefSeq and is a predicted model, not a curated record. NCBI's taxonomy places the organism in Eukaryota, Metazoa, Chordata, Mammalia, Carnivora, Canidae. The transcript is spliced from 3 exons.